This 468-nucleotide ribosomal RNA is filed under the name uncultured bacterium. RNAcentral's name for it is "partial 16S ribosomal RNA". It matches the Rfam family "Bacterial small subunit ribosomal RNA", at positions 28 to 507 of the family's 1533-position model. The record is from RNAcentral.
GACGAACGCUGGCGGCGUGCUUAACACAUGCAAGUCGAACGGAAAGGCCCUGCUUUUGUGGGGUGCUCGAUUGGCGAACGGGUGAGUAACACGUGAGUAACCUGCCCUUGACUUUGGUAUAACUUCAGGAAACUGGGGCUAAUACCGGAUAGGAUCUCCUGCUGCAUGGUGGGGGUUGGAAAUUUUCGGCGGUUGGGGAUGGACUCGCGGCUUAUCAGCUUGUUGGUGGGGUAGUGGCUUACCAAGGCUUUGACGGGUAGCCGGCCUGAGAGGGUGACCGGCCACAUUGGGACUGAGAUACGGCCCAGACUCCUACGGGAGGCAGCAGUGGGGAAUAUUGCACAAUGGGCGGAAGCCUGAUGCAGCAACGCCGCGUGCGGGAUGACGGCCUUCGGGUUGUAAACCGCUUUCGCCUGUGACGAAGCGUGAGUGACGGUAAUGGGUAAAGAAGCACCGGCUAACUACGUG